CUGGCCGGUUCCAAAAGGUCGGCUGCCAAACUUGGAAAUUUGGCACAAUUUUGAAGCUCACAAAUGACUAUAAAAUGGCACUUCCAAUCCAAUAAUAUUAGCCAUAUCCAAACCCAAAUCACACAAGAAAAAAUCCAUACCAAAAACCACCCUUCAACAUGUCGGAAUGUCCUCCAGGGAAAAGUGAUUGGCCAGAGCUUGUCUUUACAAAAUUUGCUAUUGCUGCUGCAAUCAUCGAAAAGGAGAAUCCCAAUGUCAAAGCUCACAAGAUCUUAGCUGGGAGUCCGAGAAUUUUGAAUUUCGAUUGUACACGAGUUUGGGUUGAUGUCAAUAUUGAAGAUGUGGUUGUUGAAAUUCCUAGGGUCGGUUAAAAAUUACAUAAUUAUGUAUGCAUAAGUUAUAUGUAUGUGUAUGUAUGCAUACAUUUAAUGUAUUGAAAUUACUAAUAAGGUAGUAUCUGCCUACCACUUCAAUUAUUAAUUGCUUCAAAAAUAUCUCAUUAUCAUGAA
Molecule: non-coding RNA, 509 nt
Organism: Momordica charantia (bitter melon)
Lineage: Eukaryota; Viridiplantae; Streptophyta; Magnoliopsida; Cucurbitales; Cucurbitaceae
Source: RefSeq, a predicted model, not a curated record